RNAcentral lists this ribosomal RNA (253 nucleotides) under uncultured bacterium. Its description in RNAcentral is "partial 16S ribosomal RNA". It matches the Rfam family "Bacterial small subunit ribosomal RNA", at positions 524 to 776 of the family's 1533-position model. The record is from RNAcentral.
GACGUAGGUGGCAAGCGUUGUCCGGAUUUACUGGGCGUAAAGAGCGCGCAGGCGGUCGGUCAAGUCGCGUGUGAAAGCCCCCGGCUCAACUGGGGAGGGUCACGCGAUACUGAUCGACUCGAAGGCAGGAGAGGGUAGUGGAAUUCCCGGUGUAGUGGUGAAAUGCGUAGAUAUCGGGAGGAACACCAGUGGCGAAGGCGACUACCUGGCCUGUUCUUGACGCUGAGGCGCGAAAGCUAGGGGAGCAAACGGG